Molecule: long non-coding RNA, 5354 nt
Organism: Cyprinus carpio (common carp)
Lineage: Eukaryota; Metazoa; Chordata; Actinopteri; Cypriniformes; Cyprinidae
Source: Ensembl
GAGAGCCCUACAGUGGUGAAAAACAAUUAUUAUAAUGCAUUCUAUAGAGGAUAAAAGAAAAAAACCUUUAUACUUUAUAGCAAAAAAAAGAGGUAUUUCCAUGACACAUUUAAUACAUUUAAAAGUCUUUAUUUUUACAUGCCUAUAAACAAAGGAUAAAAAGAGACUCCCCUACGCAUUUUAGCAAAGACCUGAGAGGACCCUGCAAAAAUUAAAGCCUCUUAAAUGUAUUAUACGUGCCAGGAAAAUGCUGUUUUUUGGGUAUUUGUUAAUUUAUUGUUUUUUUCUUUUUUCUUUUCUUUUUUUUUGGUGAAUUAAUAUCUUUGGUUUUUGCUUCUUGUUCUUAAAAUGGGAAACAACUUCACGUGAAAAAAAACAAAAACAAAAGAUAUUUAGCAGUUAUGUUCAUGAUUCUUUUUGUCCAUAUGAAAUAAAUGGGGAUAGACUAAAAGUAUCAUCCUAAUAGUCUGUGAGAUUUAUGAGAUAUAUUUCUAUACUUCAUCAUCAUGCUUUGUGCGAGGAUCUGGAACAAUUAUUGAAAAUCCUCUCCUCCUCUUCAGCUCUCAAAUCAGAUUCAGUUGUAAUAUGCUGCGUCACACUGCUGUAGGUACAGUGUGAUAUGUGUGAUGAGACGCACAUGAACCACUGUGUGUCUGUACAGGUGAAGCAGGGCAGCACUGACCUGAGCACAGACGUGGUUGUGUGCAGAAGCUUUCAUCCUCCGAGCGAGGCCUGCAGUCCCGGGCGAGACAGAGACGAUGUGCGGUGUGAGACGGGUCAUCAGCUCCAGUCUCCAGCUCACCGCGGAGAUGGCAGUGGAGGAGAAGGUCAGACGUCUUCACCUCUCUUUCAUCUCCCGGCUGAGUUCUUCCACCCCACCACCGCUGCGAUUCCACAGGGCAGUCCAGCCAUCGGAGCGGCCCAGCCGGGCUCCAGACACGCCUCUCCGGCCUCAUGGGCUUCUCUCAGGUCCCCAGGGGCCAACAGCAGGGUCAUGGGCUCUCAGACGUCCCACAGGAACUCCUCGCUGGCCACAGGCAGUUCGGUGAGCAGCCUGCAGACCAUGCUGGAGGAGGGCAUCUCUACGCUACCCCUGAUCUGCAGAACCCACAUUCCUCCUCCAGAACUCACCCAGAGACCUUGUACGCCACAGACUCUGUUCAACCUCCAGGCCACCAGGGGGCGCCAGAGGAAUCGGAGCAGAUACAGUGACUGCACAAAUCCUAACCGGAUCCGACAGGACCCCUCCGAUGAGGACACUGGAUCCGGGGUUAGGGCUGGAGGACCCGAUCAGGCUGGUAAUCCUGAACAGUUAUCGGAUAAUCGGAGUAGCUACUCUCUGACCUCUCUGCACCCACCGGAUUCGCUGGCGCCACUGCUGGCCAAGAAGUGCAAUAGCACUGGGAGUUUAGUACUGGGGAGCCUAGCGGUCCGGAAUAAAGAUGGAAGGUGCCUUUACGGAUUCGAUCCCUGGACUGAAGCAACAACUGAGGAAUCUGAGAGGGAUGCAUCCCCCGUUGGCACCAAGACGUGCAGCCAGACUCUGGGUUCUGGCUGCCGUAAGAACAGAUGAAAUGUGCGGUUCGGUCCAGGCAUGGGACACUGUGUGGUCUCUUCCAUGAACUCAUCUCCAUGUUUAUCUCGAGUGACACUAAUCUGUUUCCUGUUGUGCUACUGACCAGCUGAAGCUCACAGCCACAGCAACACAGUGUCUUUUCUUCUUCAGGGCAUUACACUGGACGCCUCGGAGGAGAUGCAGUAGUCACGGAGUAGCAUAGAAUAUUCUGGAACAUGAGGAACUUAGGAAACUCAUUAAUUCAUAGCAAAAACAGACUUAACAAGUGUGUAGCGAUCUUUAUGUGAAGCUGGGCGUGAAGCAUGUGAUGCGUUCAAUGCAGAAAGGUGCUGUACGAUGCUGCGUUCAUGUCAUGUUGAAAUUAUUGCCAUUUUGAGUGCUGUGGUUGAGAAAACCAUUUUCUCCUAAAAGCAUCUGAUCUUCCUUGGAAUGAGACACUGUGGAGGAUAAGAAAAUUAUUGGCAAAUUGUUUAAAGCACAAACUAAAUUUAAGUUGUACUGAUUUUUUCCCCAAGGAUGUUUCAUUGCUUGUACUGGGAAACGAGUCAAAAUGCUGAACAAGAUGAGAAGUGCAUCUGAAAUCUGAUAGCGUUUAAAUACUACAUUUGAUGAGGAAUAUCUACUUUCUUUAUGUUCUUACAUCAUUGUCUGUAGUAUGAAUGCAGUCUGGAUGUACUUUACCUAAUGUUGUCAUCAGGUGCGUCAUUCAAAUCUACUCAAACAACUAUGGGAUUGUAAGCUGUCCACUAGUAGUUGGUCAGGUACUUUUUGCCUACUGUUUUAUGAAUUUGAACAUACUAAUCAGAUGCUGUUUUAUAGUAGGGAAAUAGGCAUAUUCUGAUACACCGGAUGGAUGUUUUUGCAGGGAACUGGCAAAUAAUGAAAGCUCUGAUAUUUGUGUAAAAACCAAAAUAAUUUGUUGAAUUCAGAGUGCUGCAGCUGUGACGUCAAAACCCAGAUGGUUAAUUCGCCUCUGGUUCUCUAUUGAUAUUUCCUCUAAUGCAGGACAUUUACAUUUACAUUUAAUCAUUUAGCAGACGCUUUUAUCCAAAGUGACUUACAAAUGAGAACAAUAGAAGCAAUCAGACCAGCGAGAGAACAACAACAGUAUACAAGUGCCAUGACAAGUCUCAGUUAGUCUAGUACAGAACACAUAGCUAUGUUUUUUUUUGUUUGUUUUGUUUUUUAAGAAUACAAUAGAAUUGAAAAGAAAGGGUAAGUGCUAGUAUUAGUUGGUCAAGUGCUGGCGAAAAAGAUGUGUCUUUAGAUGUUUUUUGAAGAUAAGUAAAGACUCAGCUGUUCGAACUGAGAUUGGGAGGUCAUUCCACCAGCCGGGCGCAGUCCAGGAAAAGGUCAGUGAGAGUGAUUUUGAACCUCUUUGGGAUGGCACCACAAGGCGCUGUUCACUUGCAGAACGGAAGCUUCUGGAGGGCGCAUAAGAUUGAACUAGUGAGUUUAGGUAUGUUGGCGCCGUGCCAGUGGUCGUCUUGUAGGCAAGCAUCAGUACCUUGAUUUUGAUGCGAGCGGCUACUGGUAGCCAGUGUAACCUGAUGAGGAGAGGAGUAACAUGAGCUGUUUUCGGCUCAUUGAAGACAACUCUCGCUGCUGCAUUCUGGAUCAGUUGUAGAGGCUUGAUAGAACAUGCAGGAAGGCCCGCCAGGAGAGCAUUACAAUAGUCCAGUCUGGAGAGAACAAGAGCUUGGACAAGAAGUUGUGUGGCUUGCUCUGACAGGAAGGGUCUGAUCUUCCUAAUGUUGAAUAAGGGAAAUCUGCAGGACCGGGCCGUUGUAGCAAUAUGGUCUGUGAAGCUUAACUGAUGAUCCAUCACAACUCAAGGUUUCUGGCUGUCCUGGAAGGAGUUUCUCAGUCUGUGUUCAGAUCUCGUGCAGUAAUUCUGACGUGACGUGAGCGUGGCAUUAGAACGGUGCCUUUUGCUUCAUUCUUAUGCAGGAGUGUUCAGAUUUAGCAGCCGCCCACAGAUCAUUAGAGCUGCUGGCUGAGUUUAUAAAGGAAAGAUCUGAAGAAACAUCUCAAGCCCAAACCACGACACACACACUGAGUGUUGGAAAUAGUUGAGGAUCUUCUGUGGGUUUUGUAUUUGGAUGUUCUGUGUUUGUAGUAUAAUGAUGGGAGAAGCAGAAACAUGAACCCUGAUCCUAAACCCGGUGAGCUACCCAGCUAGACAACAUUUUAGGGUUUAUAUCUUCUCAAGAAACUGUGAAAGAAUACAACAAUGAUGGAAUUGGUCUGACCAUUUUCAUCAAGUUUUAUCUUAAUGAAAACCUGAUUACCAGAACAUACUAUAGCGUACAUGUCAUUCACAUAGGUGUAAUUCAUGGGCGGGAUUAUGCUAAUUGUGAAUGAACAUACAUGUGCACCCUAUUUCUGAAUGAUUGGAAUUUAUUAACACACUUUUAUCAAAUCUGUAUUUGUGACUCCAGAGGAGAGUUUUUGGAAAGAUUCCUUUAGAUUGAAGUAUUUUUGUCCAUUAGGAUGUUGAGCUGUUAGCUGACCGUUGCAGUGUUUGUUUCCGUUCAUUUCAAUCUGUAAUGAAGGCUAAAUGAAGAUCCCUAUGUAGACAGCGAGGUCGUUCACUAGGGUUUGGAUUAGAGCUGAUGUUUAUCUCUGGAAAUCAUGCAUGAGAGAUGAUGUAACUAUACUGUGAAGAUGGCAAAAAGUUAUUUAUUUUUGAAGUAUUAUGUGAAAUUUCAUUCUUUUUCCUGCAUAGUUUUACAUCUCUGUCUUCCACUUUGCAUUUUGUACAAACGUCUCCCUUAAAAUGUUUAAUGUUUCUGGCCUUUAAUGAGAUGCUGCAACGGUGGCAGAUCAGUGAAAUGAUUUUACUGAUUUCGUUUCUCAUUUGCACAGCUGACUUGUUUGUAAAGGACUCUCAAUGCACAUUGAUUUGCAUGAUUACAUCUAAAUUUAUGUAGACUUUAGUGAUCUUAUUCCAAAACUCCUGCUGUGAUCGAAUCAUUCCCACUGGAUCUACAGCGCUGGAAAAACUGGGCAAAUCAGUCUCAAAGUCAUUCAUUUCUCAGACCUAAAAAAAGUGAUAUUUUUAAGCCUUUUUAACGAUAUAUGAAAUAUAUAUUCACCUCCAAUAUUUAUGCAUUUGCUCUGAGACAGUUCUUUAGCACCGUCUUUUCAACCAAACAGUCAUUGUUUCCAGAAGAAACUUUAGUAUAAAGAAUCAAGGCAUGUUUUCCACACUGUUUUCCACUAAAUGAACACAAGAUACAUGAACUGGACAAUACAUAGCAAUAUUGACCUCUACUGUAUAUAUAUUUUUACUGAAACAUGUUAAAGCAUGUUAAAUUGCACACAUGUCUUUUUGAACGAUGAAUCAUCUGAUUGUUUUGAAUCGAUUCAUUGAAAUGCAGCGUUCAGAAGCGAUUCGUGUAAAUGGACUGAACUUCUAAACUCGAUCAGUGUUUUUGCUCUUGAAGUUUCAACUCAAGACUCUGUUCAGACAUCUCUGAUGCUUGUAUACUUGCGGGUUGUGAGACGAGAAGGGUGUGAAACCGUCUUUCAGAAAUUUUACGAGCAAAUAUAAAGCAUUUAAACCAUUGCAAUAUUUACACAAUAUUUGCCAAUUAAAUUAUAUAGUAAAUAUCUUGUCUCCUGCCCAACCUUUUUUUCCAGUUUUCCAUUUAGAUGAAACUGAAUUUGCUUUGAUUCUUCUGAAGUUCAGAGGAGUUUCAUGCGUCCCCCACGUGCUGUAGCAUUUCAUCAUUCACAAUCCUAAUAAAGUGACUGAACUGCUUUACUGAUGUCA